Dermacentor albipictus is the source of this 1165-nucleotide RNA transcript. RefSeq lists it as uncharacterized. Lineage: Eukaryota; Metazoa; Arthropoda; Arachnida; Ixodida; Ixodidae. The record is from RefSeq and is a predicted model, not a curated record.
CGGGCGGCGCUCCGCUCUUAUGGCUUCAGCGGCUCCUGCCGCUUUCUAUGCACGUGCACGUAUUUUCGUGCGCUCUGGAGUUUAAAGCUUUCUUUCUGUGCCUAGAAAUGUUCCGGCAAUCUAGGGAAAACUGAGGAAGGGUAACAACGCUUAGCUGCGCGGCUGUGUGAAGUGGCAAUCCAGGGAGCAACAAAAGGGCGAAAUUUUUCCGCUUUCCAGCGGAUGAGAGAUGUGACAUAUGGCGAAAUGACCCUAAAGGAGGAGUCCUAGGGGCUGGGGGCUGGGGCUGAGAUGGGAGCAGAUGUAUAACGGCUACGGCCUCUGCUCGGACCACUUCACGGAAAAGGACUACGCCGACCCUGUCGUGGUUGGCUGCGCCGACUAUUGGAGCGAAAGAGUGGUACCUUAUCGAUGAAGGUUCUACACUGGAGCAGCGAGGCCAAAUGCGAAAAAUAUACUCACCAGAGACCGCAGGUGUCAUCAACAGACUGAGAGAUGAUACACAAAGUGCCAGGUGACGAUCCAUUCUCGCAAGAGGAAGAGAAGGACAUGGAUAUAUUUUUUCCGGAGCACGUUGGUGUGGGCAGUGUACCCUCCUGAACAUCGCCGUUGUGUCCGCCGUGGUCUGCCUGGCUGUCGCUGGGCCUGCGCCCAAGAAAGGCGCCCCAGUAGCAGCACCAGCUGCAGGCAAGGAAGAGAAGAUUGAAGCACGAGGUGGUUUUUUCGGUGGCCCUGUUGGACACGGAGGUGGCUACGGAGGAGGCGCCGCCCAUGGCCACGCCGCGGGCGGCCACCAAGGUGGCUUCGCCACUGGCGCCCAGGGCUACAACCAGGGAUCCGCUGGCUUUGCAGGUGGCGAAUCAGUUAGGAACGUGCAAGGCUACAACAACCAAAUGGGUUACAGCUCUAACACUGGCUUCUCGAAGACCGACUCAAACCGCCACGGAGCUGGUUUCGGCCAGCACUCGGGAGGCUUCGCCGGCGGAGCCGCUGGUCAACAGGCUGGUUUUGGCCAGACUGGCUUCGGACAAGCCGGCGGAAUUGGCCACUAGUAGCACAGGCGCAAGAUCUAGUCGCACGGCUCACAUCUAAACCCGUGUUCAAGCUGGAAAACAUAAUUUCUUGUACAAAUAUUGUGAAUAAAUUAUCAAUAUUUUGCUUUCAA